Molecule: long non-coding RNA, 1184 nt
Filed under: Ornithorhynchus anatinus (platypus)
Lineage: Eukaryota; Metazoa; Chordata; Mammalia; Monotremata; Ornithorhynchidae
Description: lncRNA (ENSOANG00000048491.1)
Source: RNAcentral
AGUGAGAAAACCUGAGAAGAAAGACACACUUGCCAAGCAUGCAGAGCACCUCAGUCCCCGAACCAGUAGUGAUUACGAUGAUGGAGUCUCCUGAAAAAAACAAGGACACACACCUUGGCGAGAUGUAUGCACAGAAGCAAAGACCUGAGUUCUUCCCAAGUUGGCCAGUCUGAGUUUGAGUUGCUCGGGGUUCAGAACAAGCAAGGAGCUACUUGGAGCCAUUACAACAGCAUCCCCCCAUUGGACCACCAAGCAACAACUGCCACCCUUCUAGGGUACCUUAGCUCCUGAUUUGCCCUGUGCCAGCGGUGUCUCAAGGGACAUAAAGAGCUGCAGCAGCAGGGGUGUCUCUACUAAUUUUAGGAAAUUGGGAAGACUUUGGCUGUAAUUGAUUGCUCGAUGACCUGUUGGACUAUGAGCACUGUCUCAUGUGGUUUUUGCAUAUUUAUUCUUUCAUUUCUUUUUAGGUGUCUGUUAGCAACCUUCUCCCCCCAUUGCAUCAUUCUUAAACUGUGAGCCCCCUGAGGGCUAGAGACUGUGACUAAUUCUUUCCUGUUCAUUUUUUUGCCCUGGGUUUCAUACAGUUCUUGCUUCCAGUAGCCUGUUAAUACCCUUAUCACUACCACUGGGUGAAAGUAAGAGCUUCUGUUCAUCAAAUCUCUUGUGCAGUCCUGGUUCAUAAGCAUUUAUGCUUAUUAAGUAAUAAUUUUUCAGAGGCAGUCUAGCUCUGCUGAAGUGCCUUUAGAAAGAUGGGUUUUAGUCAAAUGUUUGGCUUUGCUGAAAAUUCUGGUGGCAUUUUGGUUUUAAACAGGACGGGAAGACUAUCAAUCUUCCCUCCCCUUUUUCCAGCCAUGGGCAUUUGUUCUGUCCUUCUUCCUGUGCUCUAUAAAUCAAGGUGCUAGAUGUGUGACAUCUCAUAUGUUGUAUGCCCUGAAUCAUCAGCUGACAGGCUGAUUUGUUUUUUUCUUCAUUUCUGUAUUGAAUAAUUGAAAAAGAAUGAUCACAGCAAAAACCAAGCAAAUAAAGCUUAUAUAGGAUGACAAUUUCUAUUACACUGAAAUUCCUCAAGUUCCAGGCAAUUUUUAAUUUUUUCUUUUGUGGGGAUCUCAUUAAAUCUAUGGUAACCAUUUCUCGCCAGCUAUUUCUUUAAGGUAUUUUUAAGCAAGUAAUUUAAAGUAUACAAG